This 270-nucleotide ribosomal RNA is filed under the name uncultured bacterium. RNAcentral describes it as "partial 16S ribosomal RNA". It matches the Rfam family "Bacterial small subunit ribosomal RNA", at positions 29 to 286 of the family's 1533-position model. The record is from RNAcentral.
AGCGAACGUUAGCGGCGGGCCUAACACAUGCAAGUCGAGCGAGAAAAGGGCUUCGGCCCUGAGUAAAGCGGCGGACGGGUGAGUAAUACGUAGGUAAUCUUCCUUCGAGCGGGGGACAACGUUCCGAAAGGGACGCUAAUACCGCAUAAGUUUUCUGGGACUCGGGUCCUGGAAAGGAAAGCUAGGUAGCAAUAUCCGGCACUCGAUGAGGAGCCUACGUCGCAUCAGCUAGUUGGUGGGGUAAUGGCCUACCAAGGCGAAGACGCGUAG